This 253-nucleotide ribosomal RNA is filed under the name uncultured bacterium. RNAcentral describes it as "partial 16S ribosomal RNA". It matches the Rfam family "Bacterial small subunit ribosomal RNA", at positions 524 to 776 of the family's 1533-position model. The record is from RNAcentral.
UACAGAGGGUGCGAGCGUUAAUCGGAAUUACUGGGCGUAAAGCGUGCGUAGACGGUUGCAUAAGUCGGAUGUGAAAUCCCCGGGCUCAACCUGGGAAUUGCAUUCGAGACUGUGUAGCUGGGGUGCGGAAGAGGGAAGCGGAAUUUCCGGUGUAGCGGUGAAAUGCGCAGAUAUCAGGAGGAACACCGGUGGCGAAGGCGGGUCUCUGGGCCAAUACUGACGCUGAGGAGCGAAAGCGUGGGGAGCGAACAGG